Molecule: ribosomal RNA, 501 nt
Filed under: uncultured bacterium
Lineage: Bacteria
Description: partial 16S ribosomal RNA
Rfam family: Bacterial small subunit ribosomal RNA
Source: RNAcentral
AUUGAACGCUGGCGGCAGGCUUAACACAUGCAAGUCGAGCGGGGGAAGGUAGCUUGCUACCGGACCUAGCGGAGGACGGGUGAGUAAUGCUUAGGAAUCUGCCUAUUAGUGGGGGACAACAUCUCGAAAGGGAUGCUAAUACCGCAUACGUCCUACGGGAGAAAGCAGGGGAUCUUCGGACCUUGCGCUAAUAGAUGAGCCUAAGUCGGAUUAGCUAGUUGGUGGGGUAAAGGCCCACCAAGGCGACGAUCUGUAGCGGGUCUGAGAGGAUGAUCCGCCACACUGGGACUGAGACACGGCCCAGACUCCUACGGGAGGCAGCAGUGGGGAAUAUUGGACAAUGGGGGGAACCCUGAUCCAGCCAUGCCGCGUGUGUGAAGAAGGCCUUAUGGUUGUAAAGCACUUUAAGCGAGGAGGAGGCUACUCUAGUUAAUACCUAGGGAUAGUGGACGUUACUCGCAGAAUAAGCACCGGCUAACUCUGUGCCAGCAGCCGCCGUAA